CAGAGAAUAGUUUAAUUUAAAAUGCCAGCUUUGGGAGCUGGGGUUAGAGGUUUGAAUCCUCUUUCUUUGA
Tauraco erythrolophus (red-crested turaco) is the source of this 70-nucleotide transfer RNA. It matches the Rfam family "tRNA". From Rfam's summary of the family: Transfer RNA (tRNA) molecules are approximately 80 nucleotides in length. Their secondary structure includes four short double-helical elements and three loops (D, anti-codon, and T loops). Lineage: Eukaryota; Metazoa; Chordata; Aves; Musophagiformes; Musophagidae. The record is from Rfam.